UACAGAGGGUGCAAGCGUUAAUCGGAAUUACUGGGCGUAAAGGGCGCGUAGGUGGUUAAUUAAGUCAGAUGUGAAAUCCCUGGGCUUAACCUAGGAAUUGCAUAUGAAACUGAUUGGCUAGAGUUCGAGAGAGGGAAGUGGAAUUUCCGGUGUAGCGGUGAAAUGCGUAGAUAUCGGAAGGAACACCAGUGGCGAAGGCGACUUCCUGGCUCGAUACUGACACUGAGGCGCGAAAGCGUGGGGAGCGAACAGG
RNAcentral lists this ribosomal RNA (253 nucleotides) under uncultured bacterium. RNAcentral describes it as "partial 16S ribosomal RNA". It matches the Rfam family "Bacterial small subunit ribosomal RNA", at positions 524 to 776 of the family's 1533-position model. The record is from RNAcentral.